GUUUUUGCACUUGUAAAUAGUUAAUGGGGUUUGUAGCCUACAUUCAGACGCAGUCUACUCAUUCUUGCGUGCGAGUGGCUUGAAUAAAAUUAAAACAUUCCGAGUAUGCAAAUUAUUCUAAAGAUGUCUACGUGCGUAGCCCCGCCUGCUCCAAUGAACAAGAAAGCCGGCUCUUUGAAGGCUUUACACAGGCAGGACAGUGAAACUGUAACAUCUGCCAAGCAGCCACCGUACCUGCUUGGCAGUGUAAAAAUGCUUAGGGUUAGGGUUAGGUUCUCUGACAAAUGAAUCCUGUUUCUCUACAGAAGGAUCACAGCAACCAGAGCACCUACCGUCUGUCGGGGAUGGUCUCUCACCUCGGGGAGAGCAUCAACACCGGUAACUAAAGCUUUUAUAGUAAAGAAUGUACAUCUGUACCUGACACACGCGUCAGACACUAGACCCGUCCCACGCUGGGGGACAGUAAGGUAAUGGAUGUCUUGUGUCCCCCAGGCCACUACGUCAGUGACGUAGCUCGAGAGGACGGCGCCGGAUGGUUGACCCUCAACGACGCCCGUGUGACGCCCGCGGAGACGCCGGUCCUGAGGACCAGAGAGAAGACCGCCUGCAUGUUGUUUUACGUCCUAAGUGGAGCAGAAGAGGGAAGCCAUGUCCCACUGGCUCAGAACCAGGAGCCAUCUGGAGCUGAGAGGGACUGACACCUGUGAGGCCCAGGAGAGCGCUUGAUUGGUGGUGCCUCUACAGCCCGCUCUGGGGGCCACACCCUGCAGCCCCCCUCUACAGCUGAGGCCCACCUUUAAACGCCCCCCUAGGGGCCACACCCUGCAGCCCCCCUCUACAGCUGAGGCCCACCUUUAAACGCCCCCCUAGGGGCCACACCCUGAAGCCCCCCUCUACAUCCUCCUCUGGGGGCCACACCCUGAAGCCCCCCUCUACAUCCCCCCCUAGGGGCCACACCCUGAAGCCCCCCUCUACAUCCCCCCCCUAGGGGCCACACCCUGAAGCCCCCCUCUAACCCCCCCCUAGGGGCCACACCCUGAAGCCCCCCUCUACAUCCCCCCCUAGGGGCCACACCCUGAAGCCCCCCUCUACAUCCCCCCCUGGGGGCCACACCCUGAAGCCCCCCCUGGGGGCCACACCCUGAAGCCCCCUUCUACAUCCCCCCCUAGGGGCCACACCCUGAAGCCCCCCUCUACAUCCCCCCCUAGGGGCCACACCCUGAAGCCCCCCUCUAACCCCCCCCUAGGGGCCACACCCUGAAGCCCCUUCUACAUCCCCCCCUAGGGGCCACACCCUGAAGCCCCCCUAUACAUCCCCCCCUAGGGGCCACACCCUGAAGCCCCCCUCUAUAUCCCCCCUAGGGGCCACACCCUGAAGCCCCCCUCUACAUCCCCCACUAGGGGCCACACCCUGAAGCCCCCCUCUACAUCCCCCCCCUAGGGGCCACACCCUGAAGGCCCCCUUUACAUCCCCCCCUAGGGGCCACACCCUGAAGCCCCCCUCUAACCCCCCCCAGUCAACUAAAUAGCGAGUUUGUCUGAGGUGAGUAGCAUAAACUGAAAUGCGUCUUUGUAAAUUAACACAACAGUUGGUAUUUGACGUUAGGUCUAUAGACCUAACGUUAAAUACCAACUGACGUUAGGUCUAUAGGAGUUAACAGGAGUUAACGGUUUGCCUUCUUAUUAAUUCAAUAAAUUAAAUGUAGGCUAUUUUCACAUUUAAUUAAUAAGAAGGCAAACCUUUAUUAGCAACUGUGCAGUUCUUUUUUGUUUUCUAAUUAACUGAAGAUAAUGUAGGCUAUCUUUGUUUAUGUUGCAGGUACCUGUCAACUGGAGACUCGUACAGGUCCAUAGCCUUCAGCUACAGGGUGGGGUUCUGCACUGUGGCGUGGAUCGUGAAGAGUGUGU
Molecule: long non-coding RNA, 1907 nt
Filed under: Gadus morhua (Atlantic cod)
Lineage: Eukaryota; Metazoa; Chordata; Actinopteri; Gadiformes; Gadidae
Description: lncRNA (ENSGMOG00000026015.1)
Source: RNAcentral